RNAcentral lists this ribosomal RNA (801 nucleotides) under uncultured bacterium. RNAcentral's name for it is "bacterial SSU rRNA". It matches the Rfam family "Bacterial small subunit ribosomal RNA", at positions 86 to 882 of the family's 1533-position model. The record is from RNAcentral.
CAUGAUUCAGUGGCGGACGGGUGAGUAAUGCCUAGGAAUCUGCCUGGUAGUGGGGGACAACGUUUCGAAAGGAACGCUAAUACCGCAUACGUCCUACGGGAGAAAGUGGGGGAUCUUCGGACCUCACGCUAUCAGAUGAGCCUAGGUCGGAUUAGCUAGUUGGUGAGGUAAUGGCUCACCAAGGCGACGAUCAGUAGCUGGUCUGAGAGGAUGAUCAGCCACACUGGGACUGAGACACGGCCCAGACUCCUACGGGAGGCAGCAGUGGGGAAUAUUGGACAAUGGGCGAAAGCCUGAUCCAGCCAUGCCGCGUGUGUGAUGAAGGCCUUAGGGUUGUAAAGCACUUUAAGCGAGGAGGAGGCUACCGAGAUUAAUACUCUUGGAUAGUGGACGUUACUCGCAGAAUAAGCACCGGCUAACUCUGUGCCAGCAGCCGCGGUAAUACAGAGGGUGCAAGCGUUAAUCGGAUUUACUGGGCGUAAAGCGCGCGUAGGUGGCCAAUUAAGUCAGAUGUGAAAUCCCCGAGCUUAACUUGGGAAUUGCAUUCGAUACUGGUUGGCUAGAGUAUGGGAGAGGAUGGUAGAAUUCCAGGUGUAGCGGUGAAAUGCGUAGAGAUCUGGAGGAAUACCGAUGGCGAAGGCAGCCAUCUGGCCUAAUACUGACACUGAGGUGCGAAAGCAUGGGGAGCAAACAGGAUUAGAUACCCUGGUAGUCCAUGCCGUAAACGAUGUCUACUAGCCGUUGGGGCCUUUGAGGCUUUAGUGGCGCAGCUAACGCGAUAAGUAGACCGCCUGGGGAGUA